ACCUGCGCGUCUGCUUGAGGUGCCUCGUGACAUGGGUCGACGAGGUGAAACAGGGAAGCCGGUAGCAAGCCGGCGCUGCCCCCGCAACGGUAGGUGAGUUGAACGUCGCACAGGCCACUGGACAGCUGUCUGGGAAGGCGCGGCGGAGGAGUUUUCCGCUCACGAGCCCGGAGACCGGCCUCAGGCGUUACACGGCA
This 197-nucleotide non-coding RNA is filed under the name Pseudomonas sp. The record is from RNAcentral. Lineage: Bacteria; Pseudomonadati; Pseudomonadota; Gammaproteobacteria; Pseudomonadales; Pseudomonadaceae. RNAcentral also lists the same sequence under 1 other name.